AGUAAUGUAUGGGGAUCUGCCUGAUGGCGGGGGAUAACUACUGGAAACGGUAGCUAAUACCGCAUAAUGUCUGCGGACCAAAGCGGGGGACCUCCGGGCCUCGCGCCAUCAGAUGAACCCAUAUGGGAUUAGCUUGUAGGUAAGGUAACGGCUUACCUAGGCGACGAUCCCUAGCUGGUCUGAGAGGAUGAUCAGCCACACUAGGACUGAGACACGGUCCAG
This 222-nucleotide ribosomal RNA is filed under the name uncultured bacterium. Its description in RNAcentral is "partial 16S ribosomal RNA". It matches the Rfam family "Bacterial small subunit ribosomal RNA", at positions 109 to 334 of the family's 1533-position model. The record is from RNAcentral.